AUUGAACGCUGGCGGUAUGCUUAAGACAUGCAAGUCGAACGGUAACAGGUUAAGCUGACGAGUGGCGGACGAGUGAGUAACGCGUGGGAAUCUACCUUGUAGUGGGGGAUAAGCCAGGGAAACUUGGACUAAUACCGCAUACGCCCUAAGGGGGAAAGGCGCAAGUCGCUAUAAGAUGAGCCCGCGUCUGAUUAGGUAGUUGGUGGGGUAAAGGCCUACCAAGCCGACGAUCAGUAGCUGGUCUGAGAGGAUGAUCAGCCACGUCGGGACUGAGACACGGCCCGGACUCCUACGGGAGGCAGCAGUCGGGAAUAUUGGACAAUGGGGGAAACCCUGAUCCAGCAAUACCGCGUGUGCGAAGAAGGCCUGCGGGUUGUAAAGCACUUUCAGUUGGGAAGAUAAUGACGUUACCAACAGAAGAAGCACCGGCUAACUCCGUG
RNAcentral lists this ribosomal RNA (440 nucleotides) under uncultured bacterium. RNAcentral describes it as "bacterial SSU rRNA". It matches the Rfam family "Bacterial small subunit ribosomal RNA", at positions 30 to 507 of the family's 1533-position model. The record is from RNAcentral.